CAGUGGAAAGCCAAAUUAGAGGCAUUUAACUGUUAAUUAAAAAACUGUAAUUUCUAUUACUUCACUGG
This 68-nucleotide transfer RNA is filed under the name Loligo uyii. RNAcentral describes it as "Loliolus uyii tRNA-Asn". It matches the Rfam family "tRNA". Rfam says of the family: Transfer RNA (tRNA) molecules are approximately 80 nucleotides in length. Their secondary structure includes four short double-helical elements and three loops (D, anti-codon, and T loops). The record is from RNAcentral. Lineage: Eukaryota; Metazoa; Mollusca; Cephalopoda; Myopsida; Loliginidae.